Molecule: ribosomal RNA, 494 nt
Filed under: uncultured bacterium
Lineage: Bacteria
Description: partial 16S ribosomal RNA
Rfam family: Bacterial small subunit ribosomal RNA
Source: RNAcentral
GACGAACGCUGGCGGCGUGCUUAACACAUGCAAGUCGAACGGUGAAGCGCCUUCCUUUUUGGUGGGUGGGGAGGAGCGGCGAACGGGUGAGUAACACGUGAGCAACCUGCCCCCUUCUGCUGGAUAACCGCAUGAAAGUGUGGCUACUACGGGAUAUUCUGGGUCUGUCGCAUGAUGGGUCUGGGACAGAUAUUGUUUCGGUGGGGGAUGGGCUCGCGGCCUAUCAGCUUGUUGGUGGGGUGAUGGCCUACCAAGGCGGUGACGGGUAGCCGGCCUGAGAGGGUCGACGGUCACGCAGCGGCGGCGCGACCGCCCAGCCUCCUACGGGAGGCAGCAGGGGGGAUUAUUGCACAGGGGGCGGCAUGCUGGUGCAGCGCCGCCUCGUGGGGGAUGGUCGCCGGCGGGUAGUGAUCCGCUUUCGGCAGUGAAGCAGGGUUGCCGUGUUUGUGGGUGGGUUGACGGUAGCUGGACAAGAAGCGCCGGCUAACUACGUG